RNAcentral lists this transfer RNA (77 nucleotides) under bacterium. Its description in RNAcentral is "tRNA-Ile". It matches the Rfam family "tRNA". From Rfam's summary of the family: Transfer RNA (tRNA) molecules are approximately 80 nucleotides in length. Their secondary structure includes four short double-helical elements and three loops (D, anti-codon, and T loops). RNAcentral also lists the same sequence under 2 other names. The record is from RNAcentral.
GGGACCAUAGCUCAGUUGGUUAGAGCAGUCGUCUUAUACACGACCGGUCGAUGGUUCGACUCCAUCUGGUCCCACCA